UGGACGUCAAGUCCUCAUGGCCUUUAUGACCAGGGCUACGACACGUACUACAAUGGCCGAUACAAAGGGCAGGCGACACUGCGAGGUGAAGCCAAUCCCGUAAAAUACGGUCUCAGUCCGGAUUGGAGUCUGCAACUCGACUCCAUGAAGUUGGAAUCGCUAGUAAUCGUGGAUCAGCAUGCCACGGUGAAUACGUUCCCGGGCCUU
Molecule: ribosomal RNA, 207 nt
Filed under: uncultured Desulfobulbus sp.
Lineage: Bacteria; Pseudomonadati; Thermodesulfobacteriota; Desulfobulbia; Desulfobulbales; Desulfobulbaceae
Description: partial 16S ribosomal RNA
Rfam family: Bacterial small subunit ribosomal RNA
Source: RNAcentral